AGAUCGAACUAUAGAGUUUGAUCCUGGCUCAGAUUGAACGCUGGCGGCAUGCCUUACACAUGCAAGUCGAACGGCAGCGCGGGAGCAAUCCUGGCGGCGAGUGGCGAACGGGUGAGUAAUACAUCGGAACGUGCCCAAUCGUGGGGGAUAACGCAGCGAAAGCUGUGCUAAUACCGCAUACGAUCUACGGAUGAAAGCAGGGGAUCGCAAGACCUUGCGCGAAUGGAGCGGCCGAUGGCAGAUUAGGUAGUUGGUGAGGUAAAGGCUCACCAAGCCUUCGAUCUGUAGCUGGUCUGAGAGGACGACCAGCCACACUGGGACUGAGACACGGCCCAGACUCCUACGGGAGGCAGCAGUGGGGAAUUUUGGACAAUGGGCGCAAGCCUG
Molecule: ribosomal RNA, 387 nt
Filed under: Mycobacterium tuberculosis
Lineage: Bacteria; Bacillati; Actinomycetota; Actinomycetes; Mycobacteriales; Mycobacteriaceae
Description: bacterial SSU rRNA
Rfam family: Bacterial small subunit ribosomal RNA
Source: RNAcentral